UGAAUACGAGACGCUAAGGCGUUGAAGUAGUGUAUGUCAUACUUCCAAGAAAAGCUUGCACUGUCAUAGAUAAAAAACGCCUGUACCAUAACCGACACAGGUGGGUAGGUAGAGUAUACUAAGGGGCGCGAGAUAACUCUCUCUAAGGAACUCGGCAAAAUAACUCCGUAACUUCGGGAGAAGGAGUGCCUUAUUUAUAAGGCUGCAAUAACAAGAUCCAAGCAACUGUUUAUCAAAAACACAGGUCUCCGCUAAGUCGUAAGACGAUGUAUGGGGGCUGACGCCUGCCCAGUGCCAGAAGGUUAAAGAAGUUGGUUAGCAAUAGCGAAGCUGAUAACUGAAGCCCUGGUGAACGGCGGCCGUAACUAUAACGGUCCUAAGGUAGCGAAAUUCCUUGUCGGGUAAGUUCCGACCCGCACGAAAGGCGUAAUGAUUUGGAUACUGUCUCGGAGAGGGGCUCGGUGAAAUAGACUUGUCUGUGAAGAUGCGGACUACCUGCACCAGGACAGAAAGACCCUAUGAAGCCUUACUGUAACUUGAAAUUGAAAUUGGACUUUAUUCGCGCAGUAUAGGUGGGAGGCGUUGAUUGUAAUCUUGCGGGAUUAUUGGAGCCAUCAGUGAGAUACCACCCUUGUAAUGUUAGAUUUCUAACUUUGAAUCAUUAUCUGGUCAAAGAACAGUUUCAGGCGGGCAGUUUGACUGGGGCGGUCGCCUCCUAAACGGUAACGGAGGCGUACAAAGGUUUCCUCUGAACGGUUAGAAAUCGUAUCUAGAGUGUAAAGGCAUAAGGAAGCUUGACUGUGAGACCUACAAGUCGAGCAGGGACGAAAGUCGGUCUUAGUGAUCUGACGGUACUGAGUGGAAAGGCCGUCACUCAACGGAUAAAAGUUACUCUAGGAUAACAGGCUGAUCUCCCCCAAGAGUUCACAUCGACGGGGAGGUUUGGCACCUCGAUGUCGGCUCAUCGCAUCCGGGGGCGGUAGUACGUCCCAAGGGUUGGGCUGUUCGCCCAUGAAAGCGGUACGCGAGCUGGGUUCAGAACGUCGUGAGACAGUUCGGUCCAUAUCCGGUGUAGGCGUUAGAAUAUUGAGAGGAGCCUUCUUUAGUACGAGAGGACCGAGAAGGACAUACCUCUGGUGUACCAGUUAUCGUGCCAACGGUAAACGCUGGGUAGCUAUGUAUGGAGUGGAUAACCGCUGAAAGCAUCUAAGUGGGAAGCCCACCUCAAGAUAAGUAUUCUCAGC
This 1244-nucleotide ribosomal RNA is filed under the name metagenome. RNAcentral's name for it is "bacterial LSU rRNA". It matches the Rfam family "Bacterial large subunit ribosomal RNA", at positions 1564 to 2818 of the family's 2925-position model. The record is from RNAcentral.